GCAUCUACCGAUUGAAUGGAGAGGUAAAAUCUCCGGACUAUGACGCGUUGGGGUCAAACCUAAUGCAGUCGUGGAAAGUGGAUUAAACCUUUCCAUUUAGAGGAAGAUGAAGUCGUAACAAGGUUUCCGUAGGUGAACCUGCAGAAGGAUCAAGAUGGGAAGAGCACCCGUCUGAAGUACAGUCACGUGGCCUCAUCCUGUACGCUGUCGUCUGCCUGAAAAAAAAAAAAACGCUCACAUACCUCCUAUUCUACCUUCUACUUGCCAUAUGUUAACC
Molecule: unclassified non-coding RNA, 277 nt
Filed under: sea anemone metagenome
Description: partial contains small subunit ribosomal RNA and internal transcribed spacer 1
Rfam family: Eukaryotic small subunit ribosomal RNA (bases 1-155)
Source: RNAcentral